CCUACGGGGAGCAGCAGUGGGGAAUAUUGCACAAUGGGGGAAACCCUGAUGCAGCGACGCCGCGUGAGUGAAGAAGUAUUUCGGUACGUAAAGCUCUAUCAGCAGGGAAGAAAAUGACGGUACCUGACUAAGAAGCCCCGGCUAACUAAGUGCCAGCAGCCGCGGUAAUACGAAGGGGGCAAGCGUUAUCCGAAUUUACUGGGUGUAAAGGGAGCGCAGACGGCAGAGCAAGUCUGGAGUGAAAUCCCAUGGCUUAACCAUGGAACUGCUUUGGAAACUGUGCAGCUAGAGUGCAGGAGAGGUAAGCGGAAUGCCUAGUGUAGCGGUGAAAUGCGUAGAUAUUAGGAGGAACACCAGUGGCGAAGGCGGCUUACUGGACUGUAACUGACGUUGAGGCUCGAAAGCGUGGGGAGCAAACAGGAUUAGAUACCCUUGUAGUC
Molecule: ribosomal RNA, 440 nt
Filed under: uncultured bacterium
Lineage: Bacteria
Description: partial 16S ribosomal RNA
Rfam family: Bacterial small subunit ribosomal RNA
Source: RNAcentral